Molecule: small nucleolar RNA, 78 nt
Filed under: Marmota monax (woodchuck)
Lineage: Eukaryota; Metazoa; Chordata; Mammalia; Rodentia; Sciuridae
Description: Small nucleolar RNA SNORD116
Rfam family: Small nucleolar RNA SNORD116
About the family: HBII-85 is a member of the C/D class of snoRNAs, which contain the C (UGAUGA) and D (CUGA) box motifs. HBII-85 is encoded in a tandemly repeated array with another C/D snoRNA, HBII-52, in the Prader-Willi syndrome (PWS) region of chromosome 15.
Source: Rfam by way of RNAcentral
GGAUCAAUGCUGAGUCCUCCAAUAACAUUCCUUGGAAAAGCUGAACAAAAUGAGUGAAAACCNGCGCACCCAAGUUCC